RNAcentral lists this ribosomal RNA (253 nucleotides) under uncultured bacterium. RNAcentral describes it as "partial 16S ribosomal RNA". It matches the Rfam family "Bacterial small subunit ribosomal RNA", at positions 524 to 776 of the family's 1533-position model. The record is from RNAcentral.
UACGAAGGGGGCUAGCGUUGCUCGGAAUCACUGGGCGUAAAGGGUGCGUAGGUGGCAUGUUAAGUUUGAUGUGAAAGCUCAGGGCUUAACCCUGAAAUGGCAUUGAAUACUAGCGUGCUGGAGGUUUGGAGGGGGGACUGGAAUUCUUGGUGUAGCAGUGAAAUGCGUAGAUAUCAAGAGGAACACCAGUGGCGAAGGCGAGUCCCUGGACAACACCUGACACUGAGGCACGAAAGCUAGGGGAGCAAACAGG